Molecule: transfer RNA, 66 nt
Filed under: Plestiodon skiltonianus (western skink)
Lineage: Eukaryota; Metazoa; Chordata; Lepidosauria; Squamata; Scincidae
Description: tRNA-Tyr
Source: RNAcentral
AUAGGAGCGGAGUGAGCCCGCAUGAGCAGGGCUACAACCUGCCACCUUUUUCGGCCAUCCUACCUG